RNAcentral lists this ribosomal RNA (497 nucleotides) under uncultured bacterium. RNAcentral describes it as "partial 16S ribosomal RNA". It matches the Rfam family "Bacterial small subunit ribosomal RNA", at positions 28 to 507 of the family's 1533-position model. The record is from RNAcentral.
GAUGAACGCUGGCGGCGUGCCUAAUACAUGCAAGUCGAGCGACCGGACGAGAAGCUUGUUCUUCUGCUGUUAGCGACUGACGGGUGUGUAACACGUGGAUCACCUUCUUAUAUUACUGGGAUAACUUCGUGAAACCGGAGCUACUACCGGCUCAUAUUUUGAACCGCAUGGUUCAAAAGUUCAACACACUCUUGCUGUCUCUUUUAGCUGGUUUCGCGCUGCAUUAGCUAGUUGGUAAGGUAACGGCUUACCAAGGCAACGAUGCUUAGCCGACCUGAGAGGAUGAUCAGCCACACUGGAACUGAGACACGGUCCAGACUCCUACGGGAGGCAGCAGUAGGGAAUAUUGGGCAAUGGGCGAAAGCCUGACGGAGCAACGCCGCGUGAGUGAUGAAGGUCUUCGGAUCGUAAAACUCUGUUGUUAGGGAAGAAAAGAUGUGGAAGUAACUGUGGACAUCUUGACGGUACCUAAAGAGAAAGCAACGGCUAACUACGUG